Long non-coding RNA from Salarias fasciatus (jewelled blenny), 266 nucleotides. RefSeq lists it as uncharacterized. The record is from RefSeq and is a predicted model, not a curated record. The transcript has 4 exons. NCBI's taxonomy places the organism in Eukaryota, Metazoa, Chordata, Actinopteri, Blenniiformes, Blenniidae.
GAGUUCAGACUGUGCUCAUCCUAUCUGGUAAGAACAAAUAAAAAAUGCAAAUGUAUCUCAGUAAUUGGAGUCACCAAGUGGAACGAACUUGAUGAGGGUAUAAAAACAUGCAAGACCUUGAAAGUAUUUAAAAAGCAGUUGAAAAGAUUAGCUCUUGAAAAAUAUCAAUCCCAGGGAAAAUAAACUAAAAUAACCAAAAUGAUUUUGAAUGGACUCCUCUUAUCUUGUAAAUGAUAUCGAUAGAUAUUAGCCUGGUUUUCUCUUCU